RNAcentral lists this ribosomal RNA (1342 nucleotides) under Chaetoceros neogracilis. RNAcentral describes it as "partial Bacterial large subunit ribosomal RNA". It matches the Rfam family "Bacterial large subunit ribosomal RNA", at positions 454 to 1791 of the family's 2925-position model. Lineage: Eukaryota; Bacillariophyta; Thalassiosirophyceae; Chaetocerotales; Chaetocerotaceae. The record is from RNAcentral.
CACCUUCGAAGGCUAAGUACUCCUGACUGACCGAUAGUGAACCAGUACCGUGAGGGAAAGGUGAAAAGCACCCCGACGAGGGGAGUGAAACAGUUUCUGAAACCGGACGCCUACAAUCAGUCGGAGGCUCCUUGAGAGCUGACGGCGUACCUUUUGUAUAAUGGGUCAGCGACUUAUGUUCAGUGGCGAGGUUAACCGUUUAGGGGAGCCGUAGGGAAACCGAGUCUGAAUAGGGCGAUUUAGUCGCUGGGCAUAGACCCGAAACCGGGCGAUCUAUCCAUGAGCAGGUUGAAGGUGCCGUAACAGGCACUGGAGGACCGAACCCACCUAUGUUGAAAAAUGGGGGGAUGAGCUGUGGCUCGGAGUGAAAGGCUAAUCAAGCCCGGAGAUAGCUGGUUCUCCUCGAAAACUAUUUAGGUAGUGCCUCGCGUUUGACUGCUGGGGGUAGAGCACUGUGUCGGCUAGGGGGUCAUCCCGACUUACCAACCCGAUGCAAACUCCGAAUACCAGUAAGUUUUAUCGCGGGAGACAGACGGCGGGUGCUAACGUCCGUCGUCAAGAGGGCAACAACCCAGACCACCAGCUAAGGUCCCUAAUAUCAGUUAAGUGGGAAACGAUGUGGGAAGGCUUAGACAGCUAGGAGGUUGGCUUAGAAGCAGCCACCCUUUAAAGAAAGCGUAAUAGCUCACUAGUCGAGUCGGCCUGCGCGGAAGAUGUACCGGGGCUUAAGUAAUAUACCGAAGCUAUGGAUACUCUUAGGAGUAUGGUAGAGGAGCGUUCUGUAAGCGGUUGAAGGGGUCCUGAGAGGGGUCCUGGACGUAUCAGAAGUGCGAAUGCUGACAUGAGUAACGAUAAAGGGGGUGAGAGGCCCCCUCGCCGAAAACCCAAGGUUUCCUGCUCAAUGCUAAUCAGAGCAGGGUGAGUCGGCCCCUAAGGCGAGGCAGAAAUGCGUAGUCGAUGGGAAACAGGUUAAUAUUCCUGUACCUCUUGUUACUGCGAUGGGAUGACGGAGAAGGUUAGGUCAGCUGGCGAUUGGUAGUGCCAGUUUAAGUGUGUAGGCAGAUUUUUUAGGUAAAUCCGGAGAAUCAAUGCUGAGGCAUGAUAACGAGUCCUCUUUUGGACGAAGUGAUUGAUACCCUGCUUCCAGGAAAAGUCUCUAAGCUUCAGGUAACAAGGGACCGUACCCCAAACCGACACAGGUGGGUGGGAUGAGAAUUCUAAGGCGCUUGAGAGAACUCUGGUGAAGGAACUAGGCAAAAUAGCACCGUAACUUCGGGAGAAGGUGUGCCUAAUAGGUGAAGCGACUUGCUCGUGGAGCUGAAUUAGGUUGCAGUGAAAUGGU